Brassica oleracea var. oleracea is the source of this 2109-nucleotide long non-coding RNA. RefSeq lists it as uncharacterized. NCBI's taxonomy places the organism in Eukaryota, Viridiplantae, Streptophyta, Magnoliopsida, Brassicales, Brassicaceae. The transcript has 5 exons. The record is from RefSeq and is a predicted model, not a curated record.
UCGACCCACUUCCAAACCCUAAUAUCGUAUGGAAGUGUCUAUCAGUUCUGACUCACACCCUUCAUCUUCUCCUUUUCAUGUUCAUUAUCUCUGUUACUGCGAUCCAUAUCCUAUCAAUCAAUAUGUUCUUCACUCCCAUCUUUAUGGAUUCUUUUCAACUCCCUUUUUAUUUCUUUUUUUCCCCAUUAAUUUCAACCCUAAAACAGGGAUCUGAAACAGUACAAUCGUCCAAUGUACCAGAGAAACGUCGGCUCUAGGUUACAAGGCUUCAACCUCAGUCACAAACAAACAAUCUAAUAGCAAAGAGGAGAAUGGUAUGAGCAAAAGAAGGCUCGAGAAACUGAGUCCCGACCCCGAAUUGAACACCAGCAGUCGGCAUUCCGGUGGGCCGCGACUUCACGAUGGGGCGUCCACAAUCAGCGCAAGAUCCGUCGACAGUUCACCAUCAUGCUUGAUCACCUUCAGAGGAGCCCCGCGGCCGCAAAAUGCCGGGAUCUGAAGACCCGACUCCAAACCCUAACCGCUUCCAGAUCAUCCGUAGCGCCGUCGUCACACAGGUCCGAGAAAUCCGCGCACUCCGCCUUCGUCGUUCCGUUGGAGAGAACAGACCACACCUGAAAGGAGAGCAACCAGAAGAACCGCCAUCCCCUUUGAUGGUCCCAUCGUCGGCAGUCUCUCUUCACCAGAUCCGACACAAUAGCUCUAGAUCCCGAUGAUCAACUUGUGGUACCGGCUUCUACUCCGUCGUCCUCAAAACAGAGCGUGUCAGCCAGAAGAUCCGACAAACCACCAGGACCGUUGAGCUAACGUUGAGGCCCGCCGCUACAGAGACCUACCCGUAUCUCGGAAAAGAAGGAGGAGUGCCUCCAAAUAACGCCAAAACGAAACUGUUCCGACAACGUAGAACGAGAUCCGAAAGAGAAAGAGGGGUGGGAGACCGCCGACGAACCGACAAAGUCGCCGGAAAGCUGAAACUAUGACAAUGAGAUCCACCGGAAAGUCUCCAGUCGUCCUGUAUUUUAAAGCCAUCUCAGCCGAAUCAGAACUACUGCCUUCCAGUUCGUCUUGUGACCUAUGUUGUUCUCCCAUACCAAAAUAUCAUCAUCCACCAGCGUAUUGCCUUCCGCUCUGUCACUGUCUAUUUAACUCUGUAGGAUGAUGCCGGGCAACAUUCAGUUGAUUUUUUAAAGAGAAUUUAUGUUCUUUGACACAUGCACAUGUUGAGUUUAAUGAGUUUGGUGGAAGCUCAAUGUUAGCAAAGAUGAUUUCUACUUGACACCAGCAAAUUAUAUUAAAGAACUUGAGGAAACUAUGCUUCAGAUUAACAUAGAUGGAUUCAAGUUACUUCUCUUUAUAUUCAUUUUCUGGGUAAAAUCUGGUUUGAGUUAUUGAAAAGUCUUUAUACUAACGAGAACUAUGCAGUGUCAGAUUAUUUAUGUUGUGGUGAGGUUACGAAGGGAAUCUCUAAGAGUAUCUGUUCUGAGGAAGAAUCAUGUUCCUAUAAAAGGGCCGUAUUAUCUGUUGUAGAGAAGACUCUGGACAUGAUAUAUCAGAAGAGUUCAUCCCUUAGCAAGGUAGUUUAGUUACCAUGUUCAUAUCUAUUUAUUUACACAAUUAUUGUUUCUGUUUGAAGAUCAGGUCGCACGUGUUUGCAACAGCGUAGUUAUAAUAUAUACCAUCAUUGAUUCCAUUGCUUGGCUUGCAAAGUUAAAGCGCUUAUCAGUUUUAUCUUGAACCACCAACUUUUAUUGGAAACACGUACGCUUGAGAGGCUUUUCCAAAGGAAUUAGUUAGGUGUCUGUAGUGAAGCUUUCGCUACAAGUUGUAGCCUACAAUUAGGCCUGGAGCGGCUCCAACGGCUCCUGAUAUGCGAGUUAGACUAUCUCAGAUAGAGCCUGACUUCCUAACCAGAGAUUAAUGAAGGGUCAAACUAAUAAGGAUAAUUCUAAGGGUUCACGAUGUUUUUUUUUACUUUUUUAAAGUUUAACUUUUAAAGCGAUAUGUAUUCAUUUCUUAUGAUUAGAUAUUUGAGCUUAUAAGGUCUGUCAUACACUCUGAUGCCAAAUUUCAAAUAUCAUCUGGUUUAUGAAAAUUAAGCUCACCAGUUUU